CCAGGAUGUUGGCUUAGAAGCAGCCAUCAUUUAAAGAAAGCGUAAUAGCUCACUGGUCGAGUCGGCCUGCGCGGAAGAUGUAACGGGGCUAAACCAUGCACCGAAGCUGCGGCAGCGACACUAUGUGUUGUUGGGUAGGGGAGCGUUCUGUAAGCCUGUGAAGGUGUGCUGUGAGGCAUGCUGGAGGUAUCAGAAGUGCGAAUGCUGACAUAAGUAACGAUAAAGCGGGUGAAAAGCCCGCUCGCCGGAAGACCAAGGGUUCCUGUCCAACGUUAAUCGGGGCAGGGUGAGUCGACCCCUAAGGCGAGGCCGAAAGGCGUAGUCGAUGGGAAACAGGUUAAUAUUCCUGUACUUGGUGUUACUGCGAAGGGGGGACGGAGAAGGCUAUGUUGGCCGGGCGACGGUUGUCCCGGUUUAAGCGUGUAGGCUGGUUUUCCAGGCAAAUCCGGAAAACCAAGGCUGAGGCGUGAUGACGAGGCACUACGGUGCUGAAGCGACAAAUGCCCUGCUUCCAGGAAAAGCCUCUAAGCAUCAGGUAACAUCAAAUCGUACCCCAAACCGACACAGGUGGUCAGGUAGAGAAUACCAAGGCGCUUGAGAGAACUCGGGUGAAGGAACUAGGCAAAAUGGUGCCGUAACUUCGGGAGAAGGCACGCUGAUAUGUAGGUGAAGCGACUUGCUCGUGGAGCUGAAAUCAGUCGAAGAUACCAGCUGGCUGCAACUGUUUAUUAAAAACACAGCACUGUGCAAACACGAAAGUGGACGUAUACGGUGUGACGCCUGCCCGGUGCCGGAAGGUUAAUUGAUGGGGUUAGCGGUAACGCGAAGCUCUUGAUCGAAGCCCCGGUAAACGGCGGCCGUAACUAUAACGGUCCUAAGGUAGCGAAAUUCCUUGUCGGGUAAGUUCCGACCUGCACGAAUGGCGUAAUGAUGGCCAGGCUGUCUCCACCCGAGACUCAGUGAAAUUGAACUCGCUGUGAAGAUGCAGUGUACCCGCGGCAAGACGGAAAGACCCCGUGAACCUUUACUAUAGCUUGACACUGAACAUUGAGCCUUGAUGUGUAGGAUAGGUGGGAGGCUUUGAAGUGUGGACGCCAGUCUGCAUGGAGCCGGCCUUGAAAUACCACCCUUUAAUGUUUGAUGUUCUAACGUUGGCCCGUAAUCCGGGUUGCGGACAGUGUCUGGUGGGUAGUUUGACUGGGGCGGUCUCCUCCUAAAGAGUAACGGAGGAGCACGAAGGUUGGCUAAUCCUGGUCGGACAUCAGGAGGUUAGUGCAAUGGCAUAAGCCAGCUUGACUGCGAGCGUGACGGC
This 1312-nucleotide ribosomal RNA is filed under the name Escherichia coli. Its description in RNAcentral is "bacterial LSU rRNA". It matches the Rfam family "Bacterial large subunit ribosomal RNA", at positions 1093 to 2388 of the family's 2925-position model. Lineage: Bacteria; Pseudomonadati; Pseudomonadota; Gammaproteobacteria; Enterobacterales; Enterobacteriaceae. The record is from RNAcentral.